CCCUUAGAUGUCCUGGGCCGCACGCGUGCUACACUGAUGCAUACAGCGAGCACUUCCCGGCCCCGAAAGGCGGCUGGUAAUCAGCAAUAUGCAUCGUGAUGGGGAUAGUUCUUUGGAAUUAUGGAUCUUGAACGAGGAAUGCCUAGUAAGCGCAGGUCAUUAGCCUGCGCUGAUUAAGUCCCUGCCCUUUGUACACACCGCCCGUCGCUCCUACCGAUUUCGAGUGGUCCGGUGAAUCUUUCGGACUGCGCGCGGCCUCGUGCCGUGUCGCGGAAAGUCAGGUAAACCUUAUCACUUAGAGGAAGGAGAAGUCGUAACA
Molecule: ribosomal RNA, 319 nt
Filed under: uncultured eukaryote
Lineage: Eukaryota
Description: partial 18S ribosomal RNA
Rfam family: Eukaryotic small subunit ribosomal RNA
Source: RNAcentral